AGGUCACGGUUCAGCAUGAGUGUUGCUUGGUUGGUUUUCAGUGGUCAUAACUCGACUAACAUCAAUCAGAGUACCCGACUUUGGACCUGGUGCUAGUUCCAGUCCUUCCCUCGAGACGUCACAGGAAACUACCCCAUAGAUGCCCGAGUCUCCAGACUCACCUGUAUCAGUUGUUAUCUGCCUCCAAUCCCUGAGCUCUGACUGGUCAUUCCACCGAUCCUCUGCCGCCUUCAAGUGUCAGCCUACCUGUCCGCCCUCCGAUGCCGCCACUCCUACUCACUCAGUCUGCCACUCAGUAAUUUCCUCCGAUCUCCAGACCAACCUGAAAGAGAAUCUCAAGAGACCAAGGAACCCCUGGACCAACUUUACCCCUCCAACGUCAUUAGCUAACACAACUCAAUGAGCCGUAUGCUACCGUUCAGUCCCUGGACCCGAAUUACCCCGAACAAAU
This is a long non-coding RNA of Poecilia latipinna (sailfin molly), 451 nucleotides long. RefSeq lists it as uncharacterized. The transcript has 3 exons. NCBI's taxonomy places the organism in Eukaryota, Metazoa, Chordata, Actinopteri, Cyprinodontiformes, Poeciliidae. The record is from RefSeq and is a predicted model, not a curated record.